RNAcentral lists this transfer RNA (85 nucleotides) under Felis catus (domestic cat). It matches the Rfam family "tRNA". From Rfam's summary of the family: Transfer RNA (tRNA) molecules are approximately 80 nucleotides in length. The record is from Rfam by way of RNAcentral. Lineage: Eukaryota; Metazoa; Chordata; Mammalia; Carnivora; Felidae.
GCCUGGGUGGCUCAGUUGGUUAAGUGUCUGACUUCAGCUCAGGUCAUGAUCUCCUAUUUUGUGAGUUCAAGCCCCGCAUCAGGCU